CAAAACGUAGCUUAAUUUAAAGUAUCUUGCUUACACCAAGAGAAUAUCUGUUCAACCCAGGUCGUUUUGA
Molecule: transfer RNA, 70 nt
Filed under: Ololygon sp. KAV12
Lineage: Eukaryota; Metazoa; Chordata; Amphibia; Anura; Hylidae
Description: tRNA-Val
Rfam family: tRNA
About the family: Transfer RNA (tRNA) molecules are approximately 80 nucleotides in length. Their secondary structure includes four short double-helical elements and three loops (D, anti-codon, and T loops).
Source: RNAcentral